Molecule: long non-coding RNA, 2573 nt
Organism: Mugil cephalus (flathead mullet)
Lineage: Eukaryota; Metazoa; Chordata; Actinopteri; Mugiliformes; Mugilidae
Exons: 2
Source: RefSeq, a predicted model, not a curated record
UGCCAACCUCUCCGUAAAGCGUUCUGUGGGGCUGUGAGAGUAAACAAUUUUUAAAGUCUGACAGCAUUACACCUUCAUGUGUCUGCAGUGGAAAGAUUGCACCUUGUUCUCCGAGGAGUGUCGGCAGGAAGGAGCAGCUGAACAGGAAAUGGAAAAAGUUAACACACUUACAGCCUGUCGCAGGCAUCUCACGACGCCGUUAGACACAAAGGAGGGGGAGAUGACAUUUUAGAGAUGGAAGACUGGCUUGAUUCGAAGCCCAGAUAAACACGAUUAAAUCACAAAACUUGGCAGCUGUCGUGACUUUUGUGGAAAAGACGUUCUGCUUACAAACUCGUUAUUUUUAUUUUUAGAUUCAAUGAAAACACAUUAGUUCAAGGGAUCUACGGAGAGAACUGCAGCCACAAUUUUCAGGUCAUGAAUAUGAGCAAAUUCCAACAUUCACGCAAAACUCCUGAGAAAAUAUCAACUGGCCACCAAAAAUGUUACUAAUAUUAUUUUUUUUGUUUGCUUGUUUUUUGUUUCUCAUUUAGGAAUUUUGCAUCGCUUGUUUAAACUAUGGGCAACAAAUACCAAGUACCUUCAUUCAUUCUCAUUUGUUUGCCACUAACAUAAUCAAAAAUAAGCCUUAUUGUGACUAAAGAAUACGAGAAUUGUCUUUUAAGUGAAAUUUUGAAAUGUGCUCAGCUUCCUAAGUUGUUUAAAUUCCCUGGAUAAAUCCUCCAGACACAUACAUUGUUUUUGCUCCUAUUUUUUGUGGAUGGGGUGAAGAUGAUUGCCGAUUUAACUAAGCUAUUAAAUGUGAAACAGUGGUUGCAAGUUUGUCACCACUGACUUAUCAGUAGGUCAGACAGGAAGCUUGAAUCACUGUUAGUUGACAGAUUUAACAGAUUGAGUGUUAGGUGGUGGGCUACACUUUUAUAAGCAGGACGGUGUUUAUCUUUGUUUUCUCUUAAUGGUGUCAGUGUGGUGCGUGAGAAUCAGCUUCAAAAGAUGGUUCAGGUCAUCUUGCAUCUGAAAGAUAGAAAUCUGUGUGUUUGCUGACUCAGAGAAGACAGUAGACGGAGAGGAAAGAACCACAAUCUGUUUAGUGUGCAGAUGCAUGAAGAUGGCACAGCAACAAAACAUGCAUACAUGCUUUGCUUCAGUUAAACCAGUGGGUGUCAAAUUCAUUUUAGUUCAAGGGGGCCAGUUUGAUCUUGAGUAAGUCGGACCCGGACCAGAGGACAUGAUCUUUCUUUUUCUCCACUGACUGAAGAGAAGUACCAGCAAAAAGGACUGGACAUCAGCAGAUCAGCAGGGAGUUAGAGACGUUUGUCUCAGUGAGGGACAAGAGGACACUGGAUAAACACCAGACUAUAGGGGGCAGCGGAGGGAGCUCUUUCUCCAACAUCCUCAUCCAGCUCCACUCCCACAGUCAAUGCUACAGGACGUCAUUUAUACCGAACUCUAUCCAGCUGUAAAAUAACUCACCUUUCUGUAACAAAUAGGUCAAUGUUAUUACUGAACCUUAUUUAUCCUUCCUAUGUAAAAAAAUAAAAAUACAGCCCAUACAUUUGUGAAAUAUCGCAUUAAGAAUCACUCUUAGGUCUCCAGGUGCAAUUUCUUUUCAUACAGUCACGGACAAAAUACUAAACAAAUCCUAAAACAGCCAAUAAAAACUUAAAAUUGAUUGGUUCCAUAAACAUACGUACGAAAUUUUGAAUAUUUUUGGCAUUUGGUCCCAAUGAUCCACUGUCUCUUAAUAAAAGACACAAUUUUUGUUUUUCGCUUUGAACUUAUGAAAGUUCUUCACAGACAAUAACGACUAAAACAUGGAACCUAACGCUGGAAACAACAGUUUAUUCAUUUUCUGUUUAGUUUUGAACACAUUCUCUGUUAUUUGUUGACUUUGAUACCGACAAUGUUGAGAAGUGACGCGUUGAAACUGUUAAGAAUUUGGUUUUGUUAGUUUUCCUUGAAAACAAUCAACAACAAAAAAAUAUAUAUAUAUAAUUUGUAUUUGUUUGUGAAGCCUAAUGCAGCUACACCCUCUGAAACAUAAAUAUUUCAUGAAAAUAUUUGAGAUGUGUAAAAUUUGUGUAAAAUUUUAAGGGUGUCCAAAAGCUUUUUUCCACCACUGUAUAUGAUAUAUAUUUACUUGUGUCUCUUUGUCUUGUACAUUUGUUUAUAUGCAAAUCUUACACUAUUUUACUUUAUUUUAUCAGAUAUUUACUUAUAUUUUAUUCUGAUUUAUUUUACUUUAUUUUCAUUUUUACUUAUGGUUUUAGUAGUGUAGUGUUUUUUAUGUGAAACUGAGGUGCUGGGACCAAGUCUCCUCCCUCGUGGAUGAUUAAGUCUAAUGCUAACAUGGUUAUGACGGUAAUGCUAAUAUGCUAAAAUGCUUUUGGGGUGUAAUGUUUACUUUUUUUAGCCUUAACUUGAUUUUCGCGUAGUCGACUUCUGACGUUGUGCAUUUUAGACUUUUUAAAAAAUAUCAUAACCACCUACAACAAAGAUAAGGCACCAACAUAUCCAAAUAUUAUCAUCACAAUAAGUGAUUAAACAGCAUCAACACGUAGGAAAACUUAAAA